CACCGCCUGGGGAGUACGACCGCAAGGUUAAAACUCAAAUGAAUUGACGGGGACCCGCACAAGUAGUGGAGCAUGUGGUUUAAUUCGAAGAUACGCGCAGAACCUUACCAACACUUGACAUGUUCGUCGCGACUCUAAGAGAUUAGAGUUUUCGGUUCGGCCGGACGAAACACAGGUGCUGCAUGGCUGUCGUCAGCUCGUGUCGUGAGAUGUUGGGUUAAGUCCCGCAACGAGCGCAACCCUCACUUUUAGUUGCCAUCAUUUAGUUGGGCACUCUGAAAGAACUGCCAGUGAUAAGCUGGAGGAAGGUGGGGAUGACGUCAAGUCCUCAUGGCCCUUAUGUGUUGGGCUACACACGUGCUACAAUGGCAUUUACAAUAGGAAGCAAGAUGGCGACAUCAAGCAAAUCCUAAAAAAAUGCCUCAGUUCGGAUUGUACUCUGCAACUCGAGUACAUGAAGCUGGAAUUACUAGUAAUCGUGGAUCAGCGCGCCACGGUGAAUGCGUUCCCGGGUCUUGUACACACCGCCCGUCACACCAUGGGAGUUGGUUCUACCUUAAGGCAAAGUUUAAAACCUUUGACCACGGUAUAGUCAGCGACUGGGGUGAAGUCGUAACAAGGUAGCCGUAGGGGAACCUGCGGCUGGAUUACCUCCUUUCUAAGGAUGAUUAAGGAUUAUUUCUUAAUCUAAAUAAUAUAACAGGUUAAUGUUGACCGUCCUCAUUUCUCUUCUUGAAAAAGUGUUUCUCUUUUCUGCAUAAGGGCCGGUAGCUCAGUUGGUUAGAGCACACCCUUGAUAAGGGUGGGGUCGAAAGUUCGAGUCUUUCUCGGCCCACCAAUUUAACGGGGGAUUAGCUCAGCUGGGAGAGCGCCUGAUUUGCAUUCAGGAGGUCAGCGGUUCGAUCCCGCUAUCCUCCACCAAGAAACACUUAGUUAUUUUUUUUGUGAAUAUUUUUAAUUAUUAUCAAUAUCUAUAUCCGAACAUUAAUUUGUUUAUUAAUGUUCAAACAAAAAUUUGAUUCAACACAGAAUUUUUUUCUG
RNAcentral lists this small RNA (1041 nucleotides) under uncultured Pelagibacterales bacterium. Its description in RNAcentral is "bacterial SSU rRNA". The stretch from base 1 to 658 matches the Rfam family "Bacterial small subunit ribosomal RNA", at positions 867 to 1533 of the family's 1533-position model. The record is from RNAcentral. Lineage: Bacteria; Pseudomonadati; Pseudomonadota; Alphaproteobacteria; Candidatus Pelagibacterales.